Struthio camelus australis is the source of this 1370-nucleotide non-coding RNA. NCBI's taxonomy places the organism in Eukaryota, Metazoa, Chordata, Aves, Struthioniformes, Struthionidae. The record is from RefSeq and is a predicted model, not a curated record.
GAGCCAGCGGCGGGAGCAAUUAACCCUUCCUUCGUUAGGGCUCCUUUGCACGCUCAAGUGAGCACAGCCACCCUCCAGCAGUGCUGGCUCCGUGGCCCGGCUGCAAGUUGGUGCUGGCUUCGAUCCAGGUGGCCUCAGUGUGGCCUCCCGGCACCUCGCAGCCACCCACUCCGGUUCUGCAAACCGUUAGCACUUUCUUCCCUCGUGGUUUUCUCGUCCGUUGACAGAGACGUGCAGGAAGGCAGUGCGAGUUAGCCUGGCCAGGAGCCAGAAGGCAAAGGGCAAGAGGAGACCGCCAAGCGCCUUCGGUGCUUAAACACUGCGAGGUUUAAAUGGGUCCAGGGCUGAAGUCCUAAUAUUUGAGAGGGUGGCACUGGUGACCCUGGAGCUAUUGAGCGCUGAUGUGAAUUAACACACUUUGCUCCCAGCUCUUGUGCUCAUAGGAGAGGACCAGGGAGGUCAAAGCCUCACACAGCCCGACAGCGUCCUGUGGCCAGGGGGGACCCGCAACUCCAGUGCCAGGGCUGGGGGGGGGCCGGUGGCGUGGACGUCUGUCCCGCCUUGGGACAGGACCCCCGGCCCCUCCGCUCUGCCGACGAAAGCAGGCGCUGCGGGGAACAAAAGCCACAACGCAUCGGCCAUUCCCAUCCGCUACUGGUCCCCGGUCAUUUUUGUGGCCCUUGCUUUGCUCGUGCUCUUCCUGACCUACAGGAGGACCCGUGGUGAAGAAAGCAACGACCAAGCGGCCUCGGUCAGCGACGACUCAGACCUGGGAGCACCAGCCAACAUCCCUGUCCGUGACACGGCCCCAAUAAUCCCUCCUGCCAAGGAGGAGCAAAAGGGGCUGGAGAAACCCCCAACCUGGGACUCAAGUGAGCCGGAUGCCCCCCUGCCGCAGCCGCUGCCGCCCCAGGUAUUUUAACCCUCUUUGGACGUGCAGCCCGACGGUGCACGGUACGCUUUUGGGCUAAACAUGGGACUGCAGAGCGGUGCAGGGACAUCCUUGAGCUUACCCAGCUUGCCAUGCACUGACUGCCACAGGCAUUUCCAGCCCAUGCUGGUCCCCAGAGGAGGGUCGAUGCUUCCCAGGGGCUGCCUGCACGCAGCGGUGCCCUGAGGCCUCUCGCUCCCCAACCUGGGAGCAGGGCCUGAGCUUGCUUCUCUCUCACCCGAGUAGCCUGCUGAGGCAGCCGGCAGCCCCCGCUGCCCCGGGGCACCUGGUGCUGACUGAGGGCUCCCAGCAUGGCCAAAGCCCACGGAGAAACCGGCAGCUUGGACACACCCCGAGGAGGCGGCGAGGCCACCCGUGGGGCGAUGGGCAACGCGGCUGGGCUGUGCACGCACAGCGAGGAUGCUCGCGGCCGCCCGGA